Molecule: ribosomal RNA, 460 nt
Filed under: uncultured bacterium
Lineage: Bacteria
Description: bacterial SSU rRNA
Rfam family: Bacterial small subunit ribosomal RNA
Source: RNAcentral
GAUGAACGCUGGCGGCGUGCCUAAUACAUGCAAGUCGAGCGGUAAGGCCCUUCGGGGUACACGAGCGGCGGACGGCUGAGUAACGCGUAGGAACGUACCCCAAACUGAGGGAUAAGCACCAGAAAUGGUGUCUAAUACCGCAUGUGCUCCACGGAGUAAAGCUUCGGCGGUUUGGGAACGGCCUGCGUACGAUUAGAUUGUUGGUGAGGUAAUGGCUCACCAAGUCGACGAUCGUUGGCUGGUCUGAGAGGAUGAUCAGCCAGACUGGGACUGAGAACGGCCCAGACUCCUACGGGAGGCAGCAGUAGGGAAUUUUCCACAAUGGGGGCAACCCUGAUGGAGCAACGCCGCGUGCAGGAUGACGGUCCUAUGGAUUGUAAACUGCUUUUGCACAGGAAGAAACAACGCUACGUGUAGCGUCUUGACGGUACUGUGAGAAUAAGGAUCGGCUAACUCCGUG